This 503-nucleotide ribosomal RNA is filed under the name uncultured bacterium. Its description in RNAcentral is "partial 16S ribosomal RNA". It matches the Rfam family "Bacterial small subunit ribosomal RNA", at positions 28 to 523 of the family's 1533-position model. The record is from RNAcentral.
GAUGAACGCUAGCGACAGGCUUAACACAUGCAAGUCGAGGGGUAGCAGGGGGUAGCAAUACUUUGCUGACGACCGGCGCACGGGUGAGUAACGCGUAUGCAACUUACCUAUCAGAGGGGGAUAACCCGGCGAAAGUCGGACUAAUACCGCAUAAAACAGGGGUCCCGCAUGGGAAUAUUUGUUAAAGAUUUAUUGCUGAUAGAUAGGCAUGCGUUCCAUUAGGCAGUUGGCGGGGUAACGGCCCACCAAACCGACGAUGGAUAGGGGUUCUGAGAGGAAGGUCCCCCGCAUUGGUACUGAGACACGGACCAAACUCCUACGGGAGGCAGCAGUGAGGAAUAUUGGUCAAUGGGCGCGAGCCUGAACCAGCCAAGUAGCGUGAAGGAUGAAGGUUCUAUGGAUUGUAAACUUCUUUUAUUGGGGAAUAAAGUGCAGGACGUGUCCUGUUUUGUAUGUACCCAACGAAUAAGCAUCGGCUAACUCCGUGCCAGCAGCCGCCGUAA